This 301-nucleotide ribosomal RNA is filed under the name uncultured bacterium. RNAcentral describes it as "partial 16S ribosomal RNA". It matches the Rfam family "Bacterial small subunit ribosomal RNA", at positions 509 to 807 of the family's 1533-position model. The record is from RNAcentral.
CAGCCGCCGCGGUAAUACGUAGGUGGCAAGCGUUGUCCGGAAUUAUUGGGCGUAAGGCGCGCGCACGUGGUUUAAUAAGUCUGAUGUGAAAGCCCACGGCUCAACCGUGGAGGGUCAUUGGAAACUGUUAAACUUGAGUGCAGGAGAGAAAAGUGGAAUUCCUAGUGUAGCGGUGAAAUGCGUAGAGAUUAGGAGGAACACCAGUGGCGAAGGCGGCUUCUUGGCCUGUAACUGACACUGAGGCGCGAAAGCGUGGGGAGCAAACAGGAUUAGAUACCCGUGUAGUCCCUGUCUCUUAUAC